GACGAACGCUGGCGGCGUGCUUAACACAUGCAAGUCGAACGGUAAGGCCCUUCGGGGUACACGAGUGGCGAACGGGUGAGUAACACGUGGGUGAUCCGCCCUGCACUUCGGGAUAAGCCUGGGAAACUGGGUCUAAUACCGGAUAGGACCACUGCCUGCAUGGGUGGUGGUGGAAAGCUUUUGCGGUGUGGGAUGGGCCCGGGGCCUAUCAGCUUGUUGGUGGGGGGAUGGCCUACCAAGGCGACGACGGGUAGCCGGCCGGAGAGGGUAACCGGCCACACUGGGACUGAGAUACGGCCCAGACUCCUACGGGAGGCAGCAGUGGGGAAUAUUGCACAAUGGGCGCAAGCCUGAUGCAGCGACGCCGCGUGAGGGAUGACGGCCUUCGGGGUGUAAACCUCUUUUAGUAGGGAAGAAGCGAAAGUGACGGUACCUGCAGAAAAAGCACCGGCUAACUACGUGCCAGCAGCCGCCGUAA
RNAcentral lists this ribosomal RNA (478 nucleotides) under uncultured bacterium. Its description in RNAcentral is "partial 16S ribosomal RNA". It matches the Rfam family "Bacterial small subunit ribosomal RNA", at positions 28 to 523 of the family's 1533-position model. The record is from RNAcentral.